CCCCUGUAUGUGAACCUUAGAUUGUA
RNAcentral lists this non-coding RNA (26 nucleotides) under Homo sapiens (human). Lineage: Eukaryota; Metazoa; Chordata; Mammalia; Primates; Hominidae. The record is from RNAcentral.